Molecule: non-coding RNA, 24 nt
Filed under: Arabidopsis thaliana (thale cress)
Lineage: Eukaryota; Viridiplantae; Streptophyta; Magnoliopsida; Brassicales; Brassicaceae
Source: RNAcentral
GAGCUCCGACGAGAUUUUGGGUGA